CCCUCAGCUUCCUUGAUCCACGCUUCGUUCCUCCUGUCCCCUACCAAAAUUCUGAUUUAUCCAGCAGGGGGAUUUUCAGCUUGGGGUUGUGGACCUCCCAAUGGGUCUAUUGGCAGGCUUCAGAGGGUCUGUGAACUUGGAUGGAAAAAAAUAUCCUUAUUUUCAUGAACUUUUCACUGAAAUUUAGUCCCUUUAUUUGUUAGGAAGAGAACCUGAAGUCUGAAUGCUUGACUACCACAAGUUUUAUAUUUGCUUUGGAUCCCAGAUCAGUAAUUGGCAAAGGACCCUGGAAGUCAUCCGGUCUAAUUCCCUCAUUUUAUGGAUGAGGGAAAUGAUUUGCUCAAGGUCACCAAGAUAGGAAGCAUCCGAGAUGGGAUUUGAACUCUGGUCUUUUGACUCUAGAACAACAUUUUAGAGAUCUUGUGAGGAAAAGCCAAGACAAGCAAUUCAUUGAUUGCAAGUGCCAUGAAAAACAGCAGAGGAGGAAACGGGAGUGUAUUUCUUGGAAGUUUUCGCCUCCAAGAGGAAGCCUCACCUUUUCUCGAUUCACUUAAAGUGUUAGGUGAGAUCACCGGGCUGAACUCAUUCAGUUUCAUAAACCAGAGCAUCAACAAACAAAUUUUUUCUCCUACACGACCGUGGGCUUGUGGGUACCCGGCAUUCCUGGACCUCAGGCAAAAGCAAUUAACCAUAACCAAAUGACAAAAUGAUGGAGUCUGACAGUGCAUAGCACAUAGUAAGCUUUAAUAGUAAGUAAACUUAAUAAAUAUUUGUUGAUUGACUGACCGUUAAUCA
Molecule: long non-coding RNA, 795 nt
Filed under: Monodelphis domestica (gray short-tailed opossum)
Lineage: Eukaryota; Metazoa; Chordata; Mammalia; Didelphimorphia; Didelphidae
Description: lncRNA (ENSMODG00000042622.1)
Source: RNAcentral